This is a long non-coding RNA of Carya illinoinensis, 1088 nucleotides long. RefSeq lists it as uncharacterized. NCBI's taxonomy places the organism in Eukaryota, Viridiplantae, Streptophyta, Magnoliopsida, Fagales, Juglandaceae. The transcript is spliced from 4 exons. The record is from RefSeq and is a predicted model, not a curated record.
ACCCACCCCAUAAAGUCGAGCUAAAAAUAGCAGUGGGUCAUCCAAGCUGUUUAGCAGGCGAUAGGCAUCCAUCCCCGAAACCUGCGUAUCUCCCUUCUUUAGAAAAAAAAAAAGAAAAAUAUUUUUUACAGUCAACAAAUACAAUUGACGUGUAGUCAUAAAGAAAAAAAUAAAUUAAUACGGGAUCUAUAUAAAAAAAAUUAUUUUUUUAACUUUCUUUUAUUUAUGUAGGUUCCCUUGAAUAUAAAAAAAAAUUUUAUAAUUUUUUUUAUUCAUUCUAUACAGUCGACUGCACGCCAAUUGUAUUUACCGACUACAUCUAGCAAAGCCGGAAAAAAAAAGCCUAGCCUCUCUCUCUCUCUCCGACCGUAGCUCCAAGAUCGAUUAGAUUUGCUGAGUUGAGAAACAACGACGGAAAGAUUUAUCAGCACUUGGCUAUGAAUGAAGAAGUGUGAGGAGAGCAUCCCUCUAUUCCAUUUCUCCUUGUUUUUCAUGUUCUUAUUCUGUCCUUUGGUCUUCUCAUAACAGAAAUCUCUCUUUCAAGCUUUUCCCUCUCUUCCUCAAACUUUCUGCCUCAUCUUUGCUAGAUAGAUUCUUUGAGGAGUAUUGAUGUCUCCAACAACGUUUUGACCUUAAUCCCGGAAGGACUCAUCAAGGGUUGCGAUGAUAUUGGAGGGCUGGAGCUCUUGAAUAUUAGCAUAAACAGAAAAUACAAGGGGUAUUCGAGGUACCUAGAACGUCCAUGAAAGAACAAUAACUUCAGGGGGCAAAUCCCAGCAGCCAUUUCAAAUAUCAGGACCCUUUCAUGUUUUGCAGCAAUCAAAACAACUUUGAAGUGACACAACCUGGGCAAGGCCUUCCUUAGGCUCUUAUCCAAGAUAUGCUUAAAGGAGGAAACCAGUACUGGACAACACAGGAAUGCUUUGGGCUCAACCAGUCUCAAAAACUGUUGCACCCUUCGACCUGUCUAAAAAUCAAAUAAGGUGAUAUUUAAGUGAUUUAACAAAUUACCUACAUCCAUUAGAGCCUCUUUUAUAGAAUUUGUACGAGAUUUACAAAUACUUUACAAAUUCUCUUUCUCUCUCUCA